GGUUUCUUGGCAGAUUGGUUAUGCGCAGGACUGCAACUCCUGUCAAGCUGGUUCGAUUCCAGCAGAAAUCUCCA
This 74-nucleotide transfer RNA is filed under the name Massiliimicrobium timonense. RNAcentral describes it as "tRNA-Cys". It matches the Rfam family "tRNA". Rfam says of the family: Transfer RNA (tRNA) molecules are approximately 80 nucleotides in length. Their secondary structure includes four short double-helical elements and three loops (D, anti-codon, and T loops). Lineage: Bacteria; Bacillati; Bacillota; Erysipelotrichia; Erysipelotrichales; Erysipelotrichaceae. RNAcentral also lists the same sequence under 1 other name. The record is from RNAcentral.